UGGGGAAUAUUGCACAAUGGGCGAAAGCCUGAUGCAGCGACGCCGCGUGAGGGAUGACGGCCUUCGGGUUGUAAACCUCUCUCAGUAGGGACGAAGCGCAAGUGACGGUACCUGCAGAAGAAGCACCGGCUAACUACGUGCCAGCAGCCGCGGUAAUACGUAGGGUGCGAGCGUUAUCCGUAAUUACUGGGCGUAAAGAGCUCGUAGGCGGUUUGUCACGUCGUCUGUGAAAUCCUAGGGCUUAACCCUGGACGUGCAGGCGAUACGGGCUGACUUGAGUACUACAGAGGAGACUGGAAUUUCUGGUGUAGCGGUGGAAUGCACAGAUAUCAGGAAGAACACCGAUGGCGAAGGCAGGGCUCUGGGUAGUAACUGACGCUGAGGAGCGAAAGCAUGGGUAGCGAACAGG
This 409-nucleotide ribosomal RNA is filed under the name bacterium. RNAcentral describes it as "partial 16S ribosomal RNA". It matches the Rfam family "Bacterial small subunit ribosomal RNA", at positions 355 to 776 of the family's 1533-position model. The record is from RNAcentral.